Molecule: ribosomal RNA, 493 nt
Filed under: Bacillus subtilis
Lineage: Bacteria; Bacillati; Bacillota; Bacilli; Caryophanales; Bacillaceae
Description: bacterial SSU rRNA
Rfam family: Bacterial small subunit ribosomal RNA
Source: RNAcentral
GUUGUUUGAACCGCAUGGUUCAAACAUAAAAGGUGGCUUCGGCUACCACUUACAGAUGGACCCGCGGCGCAUUAGCUAGUUGGUGAGGUAACGGCUCACCAAGGCGACGAUGCGUAGCCGACCUGAGAGGGUGAUCGGCCACACUGGGACUGAGACACGGCCCAGACUCCUACGGGAGGCAGCAGUAGGGAAUCUUCCGCAAUGGACGAAAGUCUGACGGAGCAACGCCGCGUGAGUGAUGAAGGUUUUCGGAUCGUAAAGCUCUGUUGUUAGGGAAGAACAAGUACCGUUCGAAUAGGGCGGUACCUUGACGGUACCUAACCAGAAAGCCACGGCUAACUACGUGCCAGCAGCCGCGGUAAUACGUAGGUGGCAAGCGUUGUCCGGAAUUAUUGGGCGUAAAGGGCUCGCAGGCGGUUUCUUAAGUCUGAUGUGAAAGCCCCCGGCUCAACCGGGGAGGGUCAUUGGAAACUGGGGAACUUGAGUGCAGAAG